This is an RNA transcript of Magnolia sinica, 2528 nucleotides long. It is a transcript of the gene named disease resistance RPP8-like protein 3, with no coding region annotated. The transcript has 6 exons. Lineage: Eukaryota; Viridiplantae; Streptophyta; Magnoliopsida; Magnoliales; Magnoliaceae. The record is from RefSeq and is a predicted model, not a curated record.
UGUGGAUGUAAUUAAGUUUUAGUACCUUAACGUAAAAUAAUCUGGGGAAACAGAUGGACGGUGUAGAUAUAGAAUACAUGUAUCAAGGUGGGCCCCACUGUAAGUGCCGCACCAUCUUGGGUGAGGCCUACGCCGCACCUAAUCCGCUCUACCUACAAAACCACAGCGAUUUCGUCGCUUUUCUAAAGAACGCGGAUUUCUCGAGCCCGUGAUAAGAUCGAGCAGGUCGAAGCUGUGCUGAAGAUCGAUGCGGGCAACUCAUUUCUUCUGCUGUGAUUCUAACGAUUCUGCUUACGUGAUGUUCUAUUCGGAGAUCGAACGUAUAAAGAAGAAGCUACUCGAGAUCUCUUGGAGGAGGUCGGUUUACAACGUUCAAGAUCUUGGCGAAGCUGGACAUGGAACAGGUUUUAUGGGCGGAAGAUCGCGAGAGCAGAGCCGAGCUUCAUUACCAGAAGAAACACGAAUCGUUGGUUUCUUUCAAAAAGAUGUAGAAAUCAUGGUGGUGAGAUUGAUCGAGUGCGAUUGUGAGGCUCGGCGAUGCGUGGUUUCUGUAGUUGGAAUGAGUGGUGUUGGAAAAACUAAAAGAACAUUCUGCGAUGGACAUUGAUCAGCUUUUUAUGUGGAUAGCUAGAUCUCGUCUCCACAGGCUACGACUUUUAAGAGAAGCCGAGAGCUGGGAAUUGUUUUGUAACAAAACAUUCUUAGAAAAAAAUAUCGGCUGCCUCCAAUAUAAAAUGUGGAAAAAUGUCAUGGUCUACCUCUUGCAAUUGUUGUCAUAAGAGGUCUCUUAUUAAGGAAAGAAAAGUUUUCUUACUGUUUAGAGUGACCGAAAUAUUGGAGGAAGUUGCAGAAGAUUGCCUGGAGGAGCUAAUCUAAAGAGAUCUAGUUCAAAUAUUGGAAAGAAAUUCUACUGUGAGAGUUAAAAGCUGCCGAAUCCAUGAUAUUAUAUGAGAUCUCCCUAUCUCAAAAGCCAAUAAAGAAAGAUUUCUCAACGUCCAUCAUGCAGAUAGAUUCACUCUCUCCAUGUAAAGCACGCCGGCUUGCUAUUCAUCAUGGCAUCUAAGGACUGUUACGGUUCAGAGUGGCUGAAACAUUGGAGAAAGUUGCAGAAGAUAUCUUGGAUGAGCUAAUCCAAGAGGUUUAGUUCAAAUAGUGGAAAGAAAUUUAAUUGGGGGAGUUAAAAGCUGCCGAAUCCAUGAUGUUCUAUGAGAUUCUCCAUCUCAAAAGCCAAGGAAGAAAGAUUUCUUGACGUCCAAAUUCUCCCUCUCCAUGUAAAGCACACCAACUUGCCAUUCAUCCUGACAUCUGGCAUCUAGUGUCUGAAAUAUUAGAGGAAGAUGCGAAAGAUUGUCUGGAGGAGCUAAUCUAAAGAAGUCUAGUUCAAAUAGUGGAAAGAAAUUCCAUUGUGGGAGUUAAAAGCUGCCGAAUCCAUGAUAUUCUAUGAGAUCUCCCCAUCUCAAAAACCAAGGAAGAAAGAUUUCUCAGCGUCCAUGCAGAUAGAUUCACUCUCUCCAUGUAAAGCAUGCUGGCUUGCUAUUCAUCUUGGCAUCCGUAUCCAAGGACUCUUACGGUUCAGAGUAGUUGAAACAUUGGAGGAAGUUGCAGAAGAUUGCUUGGGGGAGCUAAUCCAAAGAGGUUUAGUUCAAAUAGUGGAAAGAAAUUUCAUUGGGGGAGUUAAAAGCUGCAAAAUUUAUAUUGUUCUAUGAGAUAUCUCAAUCUCAAAAGCCAAGGAAGAAAGAUUUCUCGAUGUCCAGAUUCCGUCUCUCCAUGUAAAGCACACCAACUUGCUAUUCAUCUUAGCAUCUGGCAUCUGUGAGAAGAUCCUUACGGUUUGGAGUGGCCAGAAUAUUGGAGGAAGUUGAAGAAUGCUUGGAGGAGCUAAUCCAAAGAGUUCUAGUUCAAAUAGUGCAAAGAAAUUCUAUUGGGGGAAUUAAAAGUUGCCGAAUCCAUGAUGUAGAUCUCCCCAUUUCAAAAGCUAAGGAAGAAAGAUUUUUUGGCAUCCAUAUGGGGACAUUCUCUCUCUUCAUGCUGGAUGACUUGGACUCUAGAUUAUCCUUGGCGUCUUAUACAGGCGGAAUGAAUAGAUGCAGAUUCAGUAUUGAGGGGCUAGGUCAUAAAUCCAAAACCCCAUCAAAAUCCUUUAGGAGAGGAAUGAAAAAAGGAUCUCAAGGCUUAAGUCACUUGGUCGAUCACUUCGCUUCGGGGUUUCUAGUGCUGUGUUUCCGGAAGAUCUCAAGGUCUCGGAGAAGAAGAUAUUUGAUCCUCAAGAUAAAUUCCUUCAUAUAAGGAAUAGGCUUUUUGUCAUAUCUUGUGUUCUUGCUGUCGGUGGAUCCUUUGUUCUUGUAUUUUCCAGUUGUCGAUAAAUAAAUCAAAUUGCCAUAGUGCGAACUGUCAUUGACGCUUUUUAUGUUAUUCGCAUGGCUCUUCAAUUCCGGACAGCUUAAAUCACUCCAUCUCGAGUUUUUGUGAGAGGCGAACUUGUGAUAGACCCUGUAUUUGAGAUGGUACUAUAUCAUCAACUUUCUUGC